UCCUAUGCAUGCAAGUCGUACGCACGCGCUUCGGCGCGCUGAGUGGCGCACGGCUGAGUAACACGUGGGAACCCGCCCUCCGGUGGGGGAUAACGCGACGAAAGUCGCGCUAAUCCCGCAUACGUCCGCAAGGGGAAAGCGCUUCGGCGCGCCGGAGGAGGGGCCUGCGGCCCAUCAGGUGGUUGGUGGGGUAACGGCCUACCAAGCCGAUGACGGGUAGCUGGUCUGGGAGGAUGACCAGCCAGACUGGGACUGAGACACGGCCCAGACUCCUACGGGAGGCAGCAGCAAGGAAUUUUCGGCAAUGGGCGCAAGCCUGACCGAGCAACGCCGCGUGCGGGAUGACGGCCUUCGGGUUGUAAACCGCUUUUCGGGGGGACGACUACGACGGUACCCCCGGAAGAAGCCCCGGCUAACUCUGUGCCAGCAGCCGCGGUAAGACAGAGGGGGCGAGCGUUGUCCGGAGUUACUGGGCGUAAAGCGCGCGCAGGCGGUGGUCUCA
This 502-nucleotide ribosomal RNA is filed under the name uncultured bacterium. RNAcentral describes it as "bacterial SSU rRNA". It matches the Rfam family "Bacterial small subunit ribosomal RNA", at positions 47 to 586 of the family's 1533-position model. The record is from RNAcentral.